This 1938-nucleotide long non-coding RNA is filed under the name Homo sapiens (human). RNAcentral's name for it is "HSALNT0013563". The record is from RNAcentral. Lineage: Eukaryota; Metazoa; Chordata; Mammalia; Primates; Hominidae.
CUUUCGCUGAAGUCAGGAGUGACAGCAAUUAACUCCUCCGCUGCACCGUCCCCAGGGCCAGAUGCCACGUGAGAGACCCCAGGCUGGAGCGAGAACGUGAGGGCCCGGCGCUCCGGGGCAGGGCGGAGGGAUAGCGACCUGGGGCAUCCGCUGUUUGCAGGCCCGGCUAGGGCGGCUGCCAGCCACGGGGGAGAGGCGCUGGCAAGAGCCAGAGAGGAUCCCCUGCAAGAAAUAUAUCGCGUGCUGACACUUUUACGACCCGGGCCGGCUUACAGUACACAGGCCGGUGCACAGCUCCGCUUUCCUCUGCCCAGCUUGACAUCACAUGCUCGCCCCGGGGCUGCCACUUGGAGUCAGGAAAGCCCAUAUAUUUCCCUCCUCAGAUAGGCCUAGUGGUUCUCGUCAGGUGCAGAAAGCCAAUAAAUCACCAGCGAAGUCUCCAUGUAUCUAUCAGUCAGGAGCUUGUCAUCCUCCAGCCUUGAUCCACAUGAAAGCCGGGAGCAGGAGGGGCGGGGUGCGGGGAGGGGGGCGCGGUGGGGGCGGGGCGCGGUCGGGCCUCGGACACCUGGCAGGGAGCUAGCGGGAGGGCUUGGGGAAUCUGCAAAUGUUCACAGUUCCAAGGGACCGCGGGGGAAAUUUACACCUCCUCCCCCUACUGCUUGUGCUUCCUUUCGCUUUGAAGUUCUGUGGCUCCGCACUGGAGUUGGGGAGGCAAGUCCUCCAGCCUCGGGCUUUUAAUAUUCACAUCACGUCCUCUUUGCAGCUACUUUGGGAGGAUUGAAAGCUACAAAGGACGUUUGGGUGACCUCCCCACAACACAAGGUGGGGUGGGGGGUUUCAACCCACACUGCCCCAUCUUGAAUCGCCAUGGAUGACCAAGUAGUUGAAACACGACGGGGGACUUAGGUGCCAGUCCUUCUAGGCAGAAGGGCCCUCUUGGGUUUUCAAUGAAAGGAAGAGUGUGAGGCAUUAAGAAGCCUGAGGAAGAGAGGAGAGAGGGGCUAGGGGCUCCCGCCUGGGAACAGGGAACUGCAAGAGGGCCUGUUCAGUGCUUUGGCCUAACUCGAAGUGGUGCCGCUAAGGUAGGGGUAGGAAUCUGACUCAGAGCUGAUGAGCACAGGGACAAGCCUGGCACACUUGGUUGGGGUGGGGAGGAGGGACAGAGGAAGCAAGAGCCAGAGGAGGGGGUUAGGCAGAGGAGGCAGAGCAAAGCUUAGGAAACCCUGGCUAGCAAGGCAGAAAGGAACAGGAAGGUUGCUGCCCCAGGUGCAGUGGAGUCAAAGGCCAAAGAACCCCAAAAUAGUUGCCUAUGAACUUUUUAGCGUCCAUCAUGUUGAGUCUGUUUUCCCUCGGCAGUUAAAACAAGUCUUAGUAAAAUGUGAGGGAGUAAUUGCUAAAGCCCAGAUGAACCUGAGGAGGUGGUAGGUUAAAUUGUGGUUGGAGGUGUGUGAUGGGAGACUGAAGUGAGAUACAGGGGUACAGAGAAAAAUGGCCGGUGCCCAAAUGGCCUUCCCCUUCUCUCCCCUGGGGCUGCGGAGGUCCACGGAAGGAAGAGCUCUCUCCCCCAGCGCCCCUCCUUUCCACCUGAUAGGGCUGAGGCCAAGGUUUUCUCUAGGACCUUGACUUUGACAUCUGCCCUGGGGGAAGAUGACAGGGUGGUGACUGGCCAGGAGUGAAAGCACUGAGAUAGGGACAUGGGGACAACGUGGCAUCAUUCUCUGCUUCUUUUCCUGCAGCAUGUGCUAUUUUCACUAUUCUCCUCAUGCUGGUGGCACCUAUGCUCCCUACCUACAAACUGAGAGUGGUAGCCACCUGUCACCCUGAAUGGAAGUCAUGGGUAAGAAUGUGGCAGAGAGCAAGCACUUUGUAAUCCAUUAGCUUUGCUUCUUUGAUAUGCCUUGUGACGGCGGACAUUACCUGUGUUAGUCAGAGUAAUGU